RNAcentral lists this ribosomal RNA (790 nucleotides) under Peterkaempfera griseoplana. RNAcentral describes it as "bacterial SSU rRNA". It matches the Rfam family "Bacterial small subunit ribosomal RNA", at positions 56 to 859 of the family's 1533-position model. Lineage: Bacteria; Bacillati; Actinomycetota; Actinomycetes; Kitasatosporales; Streptomycetaceae. The record is from RNAcentral.
UGCAAGUCGAACGAUGAAGCCGCUUCGGUGGUGGAUUAGUGGCGAACGGGUGAGUAACACGUGGGCAAUCUGCCCUUCACUCUGGGACAAGCCCUGGAAACGGGGUCUAAUACCGGAUAACACUCUGUCCCGCAUGGGACGGGGUUAAAAGCUCCGGCGGUGAAGGAUGAGCCCGCGGCCUAUCAGAUUGUUGGUGGGGUAAUGGCCUACCAAGGCGACGACGGGUAGCCGGCCUGAGAGGGCGACCGGCCACACUGGGACUGAGACACGGCCCAGACUCCUACGGGAGGCAGCAGUGGGGAAUAUUGCACAAUGGGCGAAAGCCUGAUGCAGCGACGCCGCGUGAGGGAUGACGGCCUUCGGGUUGUAAACCUCUUUCAGCAGGGAAGAAGCGAAAGUGACGGUACCUGCAGAAGAAGCGCCGGCUAACUACGUGCCAGCAGCCGCGGUAAUACGUAGGGCGCAAGCGUUGUCCGGAAUUAUUGGGCGUAAAGAGCUCGUAGGCGGCUUGUCACGUCGGAUGUGAAAGCCCGGGGCUUAACCCCGGGUCUGCAUUCGAUACGGGCUAGCUAGAGUGUGGUAGGGGAGAUCGGAAUUCCUGGUGUAGCGGUGAAAUGCGCAGAUAUCAGGAGGAACACCGGUGGCGAAGGCGGAUCUCUGGGCCAUUACUGACGCUGAGGAGCGAAAGCGUGGGGAGCGAACAGGAUUAGAUACCCUGGUAGUCCACGCCGUAAACGUUGGGAACUAGGUGUUGGCGACAUUCCACGUCGUCGGUGCCGCAGCUAACGCA